Molecule: non-coding RNA, 45 nt
Filed under: Cinara cedri
Lineage: Eukaryota; Metazoa; Arthropoda; Insecta; Hemiptera; Aphididae
Rfam family: Histone 3' UTR stem-loop
About the family: The mRNAs of metazoan histone genes lack a poly-A tail. 3' end processing occurs at a site between a highly conserved stem-loop (modelled by this family) and a purine rich region around 20 nts downstream (the histone downstream element, or HDE).
Source: RNAcentral
AAAACGGCCCUUAUCAGGGCCACCAAAAUUUUUAACAACAACAUU